AUUGAACGCUGGAGGCAGGCCUAACACAUGCAAGUCGAACGAGUGGCGGACGGGUGAGUAAUGUCUGGGAAACUGCCUGAUGGAGGGGGAUAACUACUGGAAACGGUAGCUAAUACCGCAUAACAUCAGAUGUGCCCAGAUGGGUUUAGCUUGUUGCUGGGGUAACAGCUCACCAAGGCGACGAUCCCUAGCUGGUAUGAGGGGAUGACCAGCCACACUGGAACUGCGACACGGUCCAGACUCCUACGAGAGGCAGCAGUGGGGAAUAGUGCACAAUAGGCGCAAGCCUGAUGCAGCCAUGCCGCGUUGAUGACGAAGGCCUUCGGGUUGUAAAGUACUUACAGCGAGGAGGAGUUACCCGCAGAAAAAGCACCGGCUAACUCCGUGCCAGCCGCCGCAGUAAUAC
This 406-nucleotide ribosomal RNA is filed under the name uncultured bacterium. RNAcentral's name for it is "partial 16S ribosomal RNA". It matches the Rfam family "Bacterial small subunit ribosomal RNA", at positions 30 to 526 of the family's 1533-position model. The record is from RNAcentral.